GCCCAGAUAGCUCAGUUGGUAGAGCAGAGGACUGAAAAUCCUCGUGCCACUGGUUCGAUUCCGGUUCUGGGCA
Molecule: transfer RNA, 73 nt
Filed under: Blautia sp. AF22-5LB
Lineage: Bacteria; Bacillati; Bacillota; Clostridia; Lachnospirales; Lachnospiraceae
Description: tRNA-Phe
Rfam family: tRNA
About the family: Transfer RNA (tRNA) molecules are approximately 80 nucleotides in length.
Source: RNAcentral